GCGGGAAUAGCUCAGUUGGUAGAGCACAACCUUGCCAAGGUUGGGGUCGCGAGUUCGAGUCUUGUUUCCCGCUCCA
RNAcentral lists this transfer RNA (76 nucleotides) under Acinetobacter ursingii. RNAcentral's name for it is "tRNA-Gly". It matches the Rfam family "tRNA". From Rfam's summary of the family: Transfer RNA (tRNA) molecules are approximately 80 nucleotides in length. Their secondary structure includes four short double-helical elements and three loops (D, anti-codon, and T loops). The record is from RNAcentral. Lineage: Bacteria; Pseudomonadati; Pseudomonadota; Gammaproteobacteria; Moraxellales; Moraxellaceae. RNAcentral also lists the same sequence under 3 other names.